RNAcentral lists this long non-coding RNA (290 nucleotides) under Olea europaea (common olive). Its description in RNAcentral is "long non-coding RNA (OEUR_LNC010370)". The record is from RNAcentral. Lineage: Eukaryota; Viridiplantae; Streptophyta; Magnoliopsida; Lamiales; Oleaceae.
UGGAAAUCUUAGAAAGAUUAUUAAUAGUAGAUGAGACAAGAAGAAAGUUACUCGUAAAAUUUGACCUGAAGGAUUAUUUCGAGCAAAAUCCCAUCAUUUAUUUGGGCAAUUUGUAGGAGUAUAUGUAUGCCAUCUAAUUGGGAAUUCUAAGGAAGAAUAUCUCUAAGUUCAUUCAGCUGCAAAGAUUUGAGAAGUUCUCAUUGAACCAAUGUAUGCAUAAAUUGAAAACAUCAAAAUUUGCUUUCUAUCGAACAAGCCUUGUCAAUUCACCAAUGAUGUGACAAAUUAUU